Molecule: long non-coding RNA, 2221 nt
Organism: Corythoichthys intestinalis (scribbled pipefish)
Lineage: Eukaryota; Metazoa; Chordata; Actinopteri; Syngnathiformes; Syngnathidae
Exons: 6
Source: RefSeq, a predicted model, not a curated record
UUCACAGCUUUAAAAUGAUUUUAGCUUGUACACUUUUAGCAGUUGUUUUAUAGGUAUUUUAAUGGAAAAUUAAUGGGGAUAAUUUUAUCUGAUUCUGGAUGACUGUUGCCCGUGCACCGUCAUCUCUCUAGGGAGAUGACAUAUUUUCUUAUUAACCUAACUUGGCCAGAGCCUUUCAUCUUUUUAGGAUUUCCCCAUUUUUAAUUGACUUUUAACCUAUUUUUAAUUCUAUGAGAAACGCAUGUUGAACUGCGGCUCCUUUAAGAAGAUAAGAAGGGCGGUACUCACCUGUUUCAACUUCCUGGGAAGACGGGGUUUCCUGAGUAUUUAAAGCCCCUGCUAAAGGUGAUCAAGUCAUUCCUCUGAUGAAGCCUACACAGGCGAAACGUCAGGAUUCUGCCUUUUGGACUCCCUGAAAAACUUUUUUUGAUUUUUGAGUAGGUCAAAAACCUUUUUGGGAACCUUGGCUUGAGCUGGCAGUCCUUCCUGGGAAAGGAUUCACCUCUUGAUCUUCACUAAAAGACAAAAAAACGCAUGUUGAACUGCGGCUCCUUUAAGAAGAUAAGAAGGGCGGUACUCACCUGUUUCAACUUCCUGGGAAGACGGGGUUUCCUGAGUAUUUAAAGCCCCUGCUAAAGGUGAUCAAGUCAUUCCUCUGAUGAAGCCUACACAGGCGAAACGUCAGGAUUCUGCCUUUUGGACUCCCUGAAAAACUUUUUUUGAUUUUUGAGUAGGUCAAAAACCUUUUUGGGAACCUUGGCUUGAGCUGGCAGUCCUUCCUGGGAAAGGAUUCACCUCUUGAUCUUCACUAAAAGACAAAAAAACGCAUGUUGAACUGCGGCUCCUUUAAGAAGAUAAGAAGGGCGGUACUCACCUGUUUCAACUUCCUGGGAAGACGGGGUUUCCUGAGUAUUUAAAGCCCCUGCUAAAGGUGAUCAAGUCAUUCCUCUGAUGAAGCCUACACAGGCGAAACGUCAGGAUUCUGCCUUUUGGACUCCCUGAAAAACUUUUUUUGAUUUUUGAGUAGGUCAAAAACCUUUUUGGGAACCUUGGCUUGAGCUGGCAGUCCUUCCUGGGAAAGGAUUCACCUCUUGAUCUUCACUAAAAGACAAAAGUAAGGUGUGCGCACACCCCUUUGAGGGUGACAUCCUCUCUCGGGAGGGGUUUUACAGGUGUAGAAAAACGUCCAAAACUUUAUCUGGCAACUUUUUAGCCUGGGUAAUUUUUCUUACCUGGCAACCAGGAGCUUUUUUAUCUCAAAUUUUAGAAACGGGAAGUCCAAAAAGGGUAUUUGUUUUGAGCUGUGUUGAAAGAAGUGGCGACUAAAAGCGGUGCCCACUCACGGUGAUAGGCUUCUCUUGGGCCACGUGACAUUUUUAACAAAAAUUAAAUUUUAAUCCAAUUUCUUCGACGACAUGAGACCGUCCAUGCAAGUUGGUCAGGCGCAUUCCCGCCAGUGGCAGGAUGAAAGGAAUUUGAGGACUGGAUUCGUGGCGAUUCGGAUGAUGGGCCAGGGGACGAGUCCUCGGUGGAGGGGUCGGUCGAUGCGAUGAGCCCAGACACCUACGCACAAGUCGCCAAAAGAGGGCUUGACUCACAGGUGUCGAGCCGACAGCGACCUCUGGAGGCUGAAACCGGUCAACGGGACCGACCGACUCAAUCGGAGCUGAUUACGGCCCAGGCUCAGGGAUUCGUUGCCGCAGCAACAGCAGCGAAGAAGAGCCCCCUUUAGAGGCCAAGCAGCAGGAGAGGAGGGAGAGCGACAGCGCCAUCAACCUGCGUCUCUUCGUUCGGAAAUGACAGAAACUUGUUCAACAUUGAAUAAAUCUUUGAAUAAAAUCGACAAUAAACGAUCUGGGUAUUUAAAAUCUAAUGACGUGAUCCUGCCUUUAAAGAAAGAAUUCGAUAUCAUCCCGAUAUCGACCAUACCAGUUCCAGCUCAAGUACUCACCGAUUCAUCACAGUCGAUACCGCCUUCAAUCAUUACCGAUCCAUCACGGUCGAUACCGCCCUCAAUAAUUACCGAUUCAACACGGUCGAUACCGUCUUUAAUAGUUGCCAACCCGGUAUCAUUACCAAUGACGAUCCAAAAUGAUAUCAAUCCGGCCCCAUUGGCUUCAACACAGGUUUUUACAACCGUGGAGCUGAGAAAGGACAAAAUGUCUAAGGAAAUGAAGUCUAUUAGUACAUUUGUUCCCCCUCAAUAUGGUGGGCAUGUUGG